Molecule: non-coding RNA, 1807 nt
Organism: Capsicum annuum
Lineage: Eukaryota; Viridiplantae; Streptophyta; Magnoliopsida; Solanales; Solanaceae
Source: Rfam
UACCUGAUUAAUCCUGCUAGUACUCAUAUGCUUGUCUCAAAGAUUAAGCUAUGAAGGUGUAAGUAUAAACAAACUCAGACUGUGAAAUUGCGAAUCGCUCAUUAAAUCAAUUAUAGAUUGUUUGAUGGUAUCUACUACUCGGAUAUCCGUAGUAAUUCUAUAGCUAAUACAUGCAACAAACCCCGACUUCUGGAUGGGAUGUAUUUAUUAGAUAAAAGGUCGAGGCGGGAUCUGCCCAAUGCUGCAAUGAUUCAUGAUAACUCGACGGAUCGCACAGCCAUCGUGCCAGCAAUACAUCAUUUAAAUUUUUGUCCUGUCAAGUUUUGAUGGUAGGAUAGUGGCCUACCAUGGUGGUGAUGGGUGAUGGAGAAUUAGGGUUCAAUUUUGGUGAGGGAUCCUGAAAAACGGCUACCAUAUCCAAGGAACGCAGCAGGCACGCAAAUUACCCAUUCUUGACAUGGGGAGGUAGUGACAAUAAAUAAGAAUACUGGGCUCAAUGAGUCUGGUAAUUGAAAUGAGUACAAUCUAAAUCCCUUAACGACGAUCCAUUGGAGGGAGAGUCUGGUGCCGCAGCCGCGGUAAUUCCAGCACCAAUAGCAUAUAUUUAAGUUGUUGCAGUUAAAAAUCUCGAAGUUGGACUUUGGGAUUGGCCGGCCGGUCCGCCUAUGGUGUGCAUUGGUCAUCUCAUUCCUUCUGUAGGCGAUGCACUCCUACCUUGAACUGGCUGGGUCAUGCCUCUGGCGCUGUUACUUUGAAGAAAUUAGAGUGCUUAAAGCAAGCCUACGCUCUGUAUACAUUAGCAUGAGAUAAUAUUAUAGGAUUUCUGUCCUAUUACGUUAGCCUUCGGGAUCAGAGUAAUGAUUAACAGGGACAGUCGGGGGCAUUCGUAUUUCAUAGUCAGAGGUAAAGUUAUUGGAUAUAUGAAAUACGAACAACGACGAAAGCACUUUCCAAGGAUGUUUUCAUUAAUCAAGAGUAAAAGUUGGGGGCUCGAAGGAGGUCAGAUACCGUCCUCAUCUCAAUCAUAAAAGAUGCCGACCAGGGAUCGGUGGAUGUUGCUUUUUGGACUCCGCCGGCACCUGAUGAGAAAUCAAAAUGUUUGGGUUUCGGGGGGAGUAUAGUCGCAAGGCUGAAACAUAAAGGAAUUAACGGAAGGGCACCACCAGGAGUGGAGCCUGCGGCUUAAUUGGACUCAACACGAGAAAACUUACCAGGUCCAGACAUAGUAAAGAUUGACAGACUGAGAACUCUUUCUAGAUUCUAUGGGUGGUGGUGCAUGGCCGUUCUUAGUGUGUGGAGCGAUUUGUCUGGUUAAUUCCGUUAACAAAUGAGACCUCAGCCUGUUAACUUGCUAUACGGAGGUAUCCCUUCGCAGCCAGCUUCAUAGUGGGACUACAGCCUUUUAGGCCGCGGAAGUUUGAGGCAAUAACAGGUCUGUGAUGCCCUUAGAUGUUUUGGGCCGAACGCGCGCUACACUGAUGUAUUCAUUGAGUUUAUAGCCUUGGCCGACAUGCCUGGGUAAUCUUUGAAAUUUUGUCAUGAUGGGGAUAAAUCAUUUCCAUUGUUGGUCUUCAAAGAGGAAUUCUUAGUAAGUGCGAGUCAUCAUCUCGCGUUGACUACAUCUCUACCCUUUGUACACACCUCCCGUCGCUCCUACCAAUUGAAUGAUCCAGUGAAAUGUUUGGAUUGCAGCGACGUAGGAGGUUCGCUUCCUGCAAUGUCAAAAGAAGUCCAUUGAACCUUAUCAUUUAGAGGAAGGAGAAUUCAUAACAAGGUUUCCAUAGGUGAACCUGCAGAAGGAUCAUUG